This 1148-nucleotide long non-coding RNA is filed under the name Piliocolobus tephrosceles (Ugandan red Colobus). RNAcentral's name for it is "lncRNA (ENSPTEG00000006261.1)". The record is from RNAcentral. Lineage: Eukaryota; Metazoa; Chordata; Mammalia; Primates; Cercopithecidae.
GAGCAAAAAGUUCGAUUAAUCUUUUUUUAUAUUUACAAAAAUGUACAUAAUAUACCAAUAAUGUAUCAUAUUGAAAAAAUAAAUGUACAUAAAUUUUCAUCGAAUGUACGUUAUUUAUGUGUAGAUGGUAUUUAUAAUUUAAAAUUAAAUAAGGAAAAUAAAUACAUUGUAACUUUAAAUAUAUUUAUAGGCUCUUCUAUUGGUUAUAUGUUUCAUUAUAAAGGUAUAUACGAGUUUACUAUAUUUAAUGAUAUAAUUUUUUCACAAAUAUUAAUACGUGCUUAUAUUAAAUCUUCGUAUAAUCUUAAUAGUACCAUUUUAUCUACACAUUUAUCGACUGUCUUGGUAAGACCGUCAUAUCGUGAAAAAAAAAAAAAAGAGACUUUUCUCUUUAACAUAUAUAAUGAUGUUUUAGCUGAUAUUAACACUAAAUCUUUAACCGAUGAACAACCGAAAAAAACUGUCAAUAAUUUCAGGUCAGUUACUGUUAAAAAUAGUGACCAAAAUAGUGACCAAAAUAGUGACAAAAAUAGUGACAAAAAUAGUGACCAAAAUAGUGACCAAAAUAGUGACAAAAAUAGUGACCAAAAUAGUGACAAAAAUAGUGACCAAAAUAGUGACAAAAAUAGUGACAAAAAUAGUGACAAAAAUAGUGACCAAAAUAGUGACAAAAAUAGUGACCAAAAUAGUGACCAAAAUAGUGACCAAAAUAGUGACAAAAAUAGUGACAAAAAUAGUGACAAAAAUAGUGACAAAAAUAGUGACCAAAAUAGUGACAAAAAUAGUGACCAAAAUAGUGACCAAAAUAGUGACCAAAAUAGUGACCAAAAUAGUGACCAAAAUAGUGACCAAAAUAGUAACAUUAAUGAAAUUACAAAAAUGCCACAGCCAUCAACAAACAGUUCUGCUCCAAACAACACAAUUCCAAUCCAAAACCAAAACCAAAACCAACUCCUUAAGAAACUACUAUUUUAUUGCAAAAGAAAAAAAAAAAAAAAAAAAAACAUACACAAUAUAUUAUGCUGCGGCUUAAAUAAUGGAGAAAUUCACAUUUUUUAUUAUACCACCAAUUUAGUAUUACUAAAAAAAUAAAAAUACAUCAAAAUGGGAUUAAUAAAAUAAAUAUAAAAAAAGAAAAACGAAAUAAC